RNAcentral lists this ribosomal RNA (1379 nucleotides) under Aphaenogaster famelica. RNAcentral describes it as "16S ribosomal RNA". Lineage: Eukaryota; Metazoa; Arthropoda; Insecta; Hymenoptera; Formicidae. The record is from RNAcentral.
UUGAUUGGUAAUUAAAGUUAUAAAAAAUUUUUAGGUUAUAAUAAUUUAAUUAAAUUAAUUAAAUUUAAUUAUAGGGAUAGUAAUGUAGGUGAUAAUCAUGGUGUAUAAAUAUAAAAAAUAAAGUUUAAUUUGGUGUACCUUUUGUUUCAGGGAUUAUUAAAUUAUUGUUUUAAUAUAGGUUAAGAUUUCUCGAAUUUAAAAGAGCGAUUAAAUUAUGAUAGUUAAUGUUACAUAAUUAUUAUUAAUAAUUUAAUAGAGAAUAUAUUUUAUUCAAUUUUAAAGAUAUCUAGUUUUUUUUGAUUAAAUUUAAUUUAGGUUUAAUAUAGAAUAGAAUUUAAGGUUACUUUAUUAUAUUUAAUUUAUUUAUUAGACUUUAGAAUUUAUGGGAUAAACUAUAGGUUUUAUUAAAAUAUAUAAAAAUAAAGUUAUGAGUAUAAUUAUGUUAAUUAUUGUAAAGUAUUAAAGGUAAUUAUAUUAGUAAUAAAUAUAUAAUAAUAAUAUUUAUAAAAUUUGAAAUUUAGGAUAAAAAUUUAAUAAUUUAUAUUUAAUAAAUGAGAAUGAUUUAAAUAAUUAUAUAUUUAAUAAUUUAAAAAAAUAUUAAUUUAAAUUUAAAUAAUUAAUUAAUAAUGAUAAUAUAAGUAUAAUAAAUAUAUUAAAGAUUUGUUAGUAAGUAAUUUUAAUUUAUUAAUUAUGUAUAUUAAUUUAAGGAAUUAGGCAAAUAAUGAAUUCAACUGUUUAUUAAAAACAUAGCCUUUUGACUAUAAUUUAAGGUUAUUUCUGCCCUAUGAAUUUUUUAAAUGGCUGCAGUAUAUUGACUGUGCUAAGGUAGCAUAAUCAAUUGUUUCUUAAUUAGAAACUUGAAUGAAGGAAAAUAUGAGAUUUGAGCUGUCUUGAGUUAAGAUUUAUAAAUUAUUUUUUAAGUAAAAAAACUUAAAUAAUAUUAUGGGACGAGAAGACCCUAUAGAAUUUUAUAUAAUUUUUGUUAUGAAGUUUAUAUUAUAAUUAAUAAUUAUUAUAUUUAGUUGGGAGGACGGUUAAAUAAUUAUAACUUUAAUUGAAAUAAGUUCAUUUAUUAAUGAUUUUUAAAGAAUGAUUAGUAGUUUAAUUAAUAAAGAAUUAAUUACCUUAGGGAUAACAGCGUAAUAUUUUUAGAGAGAUCAUAUUAAUAAGAAUGAUUGCGACCUCGAUGUUGAAUUAAGAUAAAAAUUAGGUGUAGAUUCUUAAUAUUUAGGUCUGUUCGACCUUUAAAAUCUUACAUGAUUUGAGUUUAGAUCGGUGUGAGCCAGAUCGGUUUCUAUCUAUAAUUAGUUUAAAAUUAUUUGUACGAAAGGACUUUAAUUUUUAAUUUUAUUAAAUUACGAUGAAUAUGAAAAUUAUUA